AAGCGACCUCAGUUCGGAUUGAAGGCUGAAAUUCGCCUUCAUGAAGUCGGAAUUGCUAGUAAUGGCAGGUCAGCAUACUGCCGUGAAUACGUUCCCGGGCCUUGUACACACCGCCCGUCACACCAUGAGAGUUGGAGAUACCCGAAGCCUAUGAGCUAACUUUAGAGGCAGUAGUCGAAGGUAGAAUCAAUGAUUGGGGUGAAGUCGUAACAAGGUAAC
This 219-nucleotide ribosomal RNA is filed under the name uncultured bacterium. RNAcentral's name for it is "partial 16S ribosomal RNA". It matches the Rfam family "Bacterial small subunit ribosomal RNA", at positions 1280 to 1500 of the family's 1533-position model. The record is from RNAcentral.